AAGGGUUUCAAGGUUGUGAGUUAUUCUAGAUUGAAGAUCGAAGGCUCGAGGGAGUUGGCUUCUGUUAUGAAAUUCGGUUAGCAAUCGGUUUCGACGUGAUGAGAUGCAUCGAGAACGAAUGAGUUUCAAAUUGUCGCUAUAGUACCAUAGUAUGGUUUAACAAACGUGUAUGAAGAUUUAAACUUUCUGGAUUUUUCUUUUUGGGUGAAAAACACAAUGCAAUGGCGAACUGUAUGAAAAAAUGUGGAAACGAACAAUGCGAAUGUAUUAAAGUAUUAG
RNAcentral lists this long non-coding RNA (279 nucleotides) under Lathyrus oleraceus (garden pea). RNAcentral describes it as "Pisum sativum (pea) long non-coding RNA (PSAT_LNC026261)". Lineage: Eukaryota; Viridiplantae; Streptophyta; Magnoliopsida; Fabales; Fabaceae. The record is from RNAcentral.